Molecule: non-coding RNA, 15961 nt
Organism: Callithrix jacchus (white-tufted-ear marmoset)
Lineage: Eukaryota; Metazoa; Chordata; Mammalia; Primates; Cebidae
Source: RefSeq, a predicted model, not a curated record
UUAACUUUAAUGUAAUUAUUUAUGUAAAGAAAAAGUCUUAGAAAUCUUACAUAAAGUUAAAAAAUGUAAUGGGAUGCUAGACCCCAAAAGAUUUAGCAGCAUUACUCUGAGAACUUCCAGUUUAGAAAUAUACAGAGUAAGCCACAUACAACUUGCUAUGUGAUCUAUUUUGUUUUCUUUUUUGUUUUAGGAUAUGGGGUCUCACUCUGUCACCUAGGCUGGAGUACAGUGGUGCAAUCACAGGUCACUGCAGGCUUGCACUCCUGAGCUAAGGAUCCUCCUGCCUCUGCCUCCUUAGUAGCUAUACAUGAUGACACCUGGUUAAUUUUUAAAUGUUUUCAUACACAUUGGAUCUCACUUUGUUGGUCAGGCUGGUGUCAAACUCCUGGCCUCUAGUGACUUUUCCAUCCCUGCCUCCCAUCCUAGAGGCAUGAUCCACCACAACGAGCACUUGUUCAAUUUUCUAAGGAAAUAAAAUUUUCUAAAGUAAGCCUGUGGCAGGAAGAUAAAAGUAAAAAACAGAAGAAUACAUUCUAAUGAUUUAUUCCCACAUAUUCUUUUGAAAGCAAGAACUUUUAGUAGACACAUAUUUUACAAAGGCAAAGAAACAAUGUUUUACAAGUACUUCAACACACACUGUCAUGUUCUUACUUCUCUGACAUCAGUUCUUUUUUGUAUUUUUAGUAGAGAUGGAGUUUCACCAUGUUGACCAGGAUGGUCUCGAUCUUCUGCCCUCGUGAUCCAACUGCCUCAAGUCAAGCUCUUCAGGCCCACUUUGAGCCUUCCGAUGACCUGGACAGGCCCAGCUCUUUCCUCCCAGUGGCCUCUGCAGGCCUAGCUUUUGCCUCACAGGUAUUCCUUGAACAGGUUUCUGCUUGCCUCCUGGUAGCCUUGAGAAGCCCAGGUGUUGCCUCACUCUAACCUCAUUAGGACCAGGUCACAGUGGCCUCUCCAGACCCAGCAUCUGUCCCCUGACAGGCUGUCCAGGCCAAAAUGUCUUCUAGUCACCCUCUUCAGGCGCAGCUUCUGUCUCACACUGGACUCUUUAGGUACAGCUCAUGCCUUUCGGCAGCCUCUUGAGGCCCAGUUCCUGUAUCUCUGUGGCCUCUCCGGACUGAGAGAUUUCUCAAAUCUGCCAUUCCAGGUCCAACUCCUGCUUCCAGUCGGCCCCAAUAGGCUUAAACUCUGCCUCACAGCAGACACCCCAGGCCAAGCGUGUGCCUCACCACAGUGCCCCCAGGCCAAGCUUCUGCCUUUCGGCAGCAUCUGCAGGCCCAGCUACUGCCUCCUAAUGGCCUGUCUAGGUGAAGCUCAUGCAUCACAAUGGCCAUUCUGAUCAAGCUUUUACUUUUUGGCAGCGUCUCCACGCCCAGAACUUCCUGAAGUGGGCCCUCCCAUGCCCAGCAUUGGCCUGCUGGCAUCCUCUCUGGGCCCAGAACGUCUUCAGGUAGGCCCAGCUUUUGGGGCCCAGCUCCUCCUCUCAGCUGUGUCUACGGGCUCAACUUUUGAAUUUGCCUCACAGCAACCUCUGGGGACUCGGUUCCUCCCCAGCUUCUGGUGUCCUUUAUAGGCCCGAAAGCUCAGGCUCUCCAGGCCCUCCCAGCUCAUGUCUCACACUGGCCUCUCCAGGCUCGGCUCCUGCCCUCCCAGGGCAUCUCCAGGCCUCAGACGUUCCCGAGUCGGCUUCUGCUGGCCCGGCUCCUGCUGCCUCAUCAUGCUGGCCUCGGGAGGCCCAAGCAUUGGUUCCUGAAGUUUAUCUCUGCAGGCCCAGCUUCUGCCUUCCCGGCAGCCCCCCAACAUGGGCUCCUCCAGGGCAAGCUCCUGCCUCCCAACGGCCACCUGGGACACAGCUCCUGCCUUCUGUCAGCCUCUUCGGGAGGCCCAGCCUCUGCCUCCCUACUGCCGGCCCCCACACACCCGGAUCGUCAUCCUGGCUGCGUCUAUCUGCCAAUGUUUUGCCCCCUGGCGGCCUCUUUUGGCUCGGCGCCUGGCCAGCUCCCGACGGCCUCUCGUCUGUCGGCCCGAAGCUUCCUCGGGGAUUUCGGGGUGUCCCUUCUGCAUCCCGGUGGCCUAGACAGGCCCAGCUACAUCCUGACAUCGGCCUCUCCAUGCCCACUUCUGGCCUCCCUACAGCACCCCCAGCACCAUCCACUGUGUGCCGGCCGCUUCCCCAGGCCUAGAUCCUGCCUACCUCCCGACUUCGUCCACAAACCCAACGCCUCCCUCACACUGGCCAGUUGAGGCCCAGCUUGGCCUCUAGCACAUGUCUCUGGACCCAGAUCUCACCUGGUGCUCGCCUUGAGUCUGAGCCCAGGUCCUCCCUCGCACCGACCUUUCUCGGCCCAGCUCGCCUCUCAUAAACUCUCCGGCCAGCUCCUGCCUCCCAGCGGCCUGUCCAGGCCCGAAGCUUCCUCUCCGGGCCCAGCCUCUCCAGGCCUGGCUCCUGCCUACGCUAGGCCCCUCUGGGCCCAGCCUCCACCUAACAGUGGACCCUCCAGACCCAGCUUAUGGCCUCAUCGUGGUCUGCGCUCAGCCCAGCUCCUGCCUCUGUGGCAGCCUGUCUCCACAGGCCCAGCUCCUGGCCUCCAGGUGGCCCCCUCGGGCCAAACCGGUGCCCCCAGGCGGCCCUGUGCCUAGCGUUGGCCUUCUGGCAUCCUCUCCUUGUCCAGAAUGUCAGCCUCUUUGGUCCCAGCCCCUCCUUCUGGCAGCUUCUUAGGGCCAACCUUUUGUUCUCGCCUCGCAGCAACCUCUGUUGCUCGGCUCCUCCCUAGCUCCUGGAGGCCUUUGUAGGACCAAAAGCUCAGGCCCUCGACUCAGGCUUUCCAGGACUACCCAGCUCAUGCCUCAUGCUGGCCUCUCCAGGCUCAGGUUUUGCCCACCCAGGGUUCCUAUAGGCCCCAGAUGUCCCAGAGUCGGCUUCUUCAGGCCCGGUUUUGGACUCCUCCUAAUGGCUUCUGCAGGCCUAAGCAUUGGGUUCUUAAUUUGGCCUCUGCAGGCCCAGCUCCAGUUCUGCUGGUGUCUCCUCCCCAUGGGUGCAAACGUCAUCAUGUGGAUUCUUCUAGGGCCAGCUCAUGCUUCCCAAAGGCGCCCUGGGCUUAGCUCCUGCCUCCCGUCAGCCUCUCCUGAAGGCCUAGCAUCUGCCUCGGUACUGGCGGCCUCUCAAGGCCUGGAUCCUCCUCCUGGCCACGUCUCCGGGCCCAAGUUUUGCUCCCGGCAGCCUCUUUUUUUUUUUUUUUUUUUAAAGAGAUGGAGUUUUGCUCUUGUUUCCCAGGUGUGGGUACAAUGACGUGAUCUCCGUUCACCUCAACCUCCGCCUUUUGGGUUUAGGCAAUUCUCCUGCCUCAGCCUCCUGAGUAGCUGGAGUUACAGGCACACGCCACCAUACCCAGCUAAUUUCUUUUUCUUUUUGAGACAGAGUUUCGCUCUUGUUACCCAGGCUGGAGUAGAAUGGUGCAAUCUAGGCUCACGGCAACCUCUGCCUCCUGGGUUCAGGCAAUUCUCCUGCGUCAGCCUCCUGAGUCGCUGGGAUUACAGGCACCCGCCACCGUAACCAGCUAUUUUUUUUUUUUUUUUUUUUUUUUGACAGAGUUUUGCUAUUGUCCAGGCUGGAGUGCAAUGGCGGGAUCUCGGCUCACCGCAACCUCCGCCUCCUGGGUUCAGGCAAUUCUCCUGCCUCAGCCUGCUGAGUAACUGGGAUUACAGGCACGCACCACCGUGGCCAACUAAUUGUUUCUUUUCUUUUUGAGAUGGAGUUUUGCUCUUGCUGCCCAGGCUGGAGUGCAGUGGCACGAUCUCGGCUCACUGCAACCUCUCCCUUCUCGGUUCAGGCAAUUCUCCUGCCUCAGCCUGCUGAGUAGCUGGGAUGACAGGCACGCACCACCAUGCCCAGCUAAUUUUUUGUAUUUAUAGUAGAGAUGGGGUUUCACCAUGUUGACCAGGAUGGUCUCAAUUUCCUGACCUCAUGAUCCACCCGCCUCGGCCUCCCAACGUGUUGGGAUUACAGGCGUGAGCUACUGUGCCUGGUCCCCAGCAGCGUCUUUUGGCUCGGCUCCUGGCCAGCGCCCGGAGGCCUUUUGUCUGUCGGCCCAAAGCUUCCUCAGUGUCCCUUCUGUUGAGGCCACUGGGAGGCAGAAGGGACGCCCGGAAGGCCCUACCUGAGGAAGCUUUGGGCCAACAGACGAAAGGCCUCUGGGAGCUGGCCAGGAGUCGAGCCAAAAGAGGCUGCCAGGGGCAAAACUUGGGCCGGUAGAUGUGGCCAGGAGGAGGUGCUAGGCCUGGUGUGGCUGCCAGUAGGGAGGCAGAGGCUGGGGCUCCUGGAGAGGCCGCCUGAUGGGAAUCAGGACCUGGGUUCCAGGGGCCACUGGGAUGCCGGAGCUAGCCCCGGAGGGGACCAUGUGAUGAUGUAUUGUGCCCACGUUGGGGGGUGCCGCCGGAAGGGCAGGAGCUGGACCUGCAGACGCAGGCUUCAUGACCCAAUGAUUGGGCCUCCCAAGGCCAGUGGGAGGACAAAGCAGGACUGGGCCUCAGGGCCGAGCUUUGGAGUCCCCCCAGCCUCCCCAGCCCCAGCUGCUGCCUGCUGGCUGCUUCCGCAGGCCAAGAUCCUGCCUGCCUGCCUGCCUGCCUGCAUCCCGGCUGCAUCCACAGGCCCAGCGCCUCCCUCACACUGGCCAGUUGAGGCUCAAGUCAUGCCUUUGCCGGACGUCUCGAGCCAGCUCUCACUUGGUGCUGGCCUUGAGUCUGGACACAGGCCCUCCCUCGCACCGGCCUCUCUUGGCCCAGCUCACCUCUCAUAAACUCUCCGCCAGCUCCUGCCUCCCAGCGGCUUGUCCAGGCCUGAAGCUUCCUCUCUGGGCCCCGCCUAUCCAGGCCUGGCUUUUGCCUGUGCUAGGCCCCUCCAGGCCCAGCCUCCACCUCUCAGUGGACCCUCCAGACCCAGCUUGUGGCUUCAUUGUGGCCUCCGCUCAGCCCAGCUCCUGCCUCUGUGGCAGCCUGUCUUCACAGGCCCAGCUUGUAGCCUCCCGGUAGCUCCCUUGGGCCAAACUGGUGCCCCCAGGCCGCCCUUCCAUGCCCAGCAUUGGCCUCCUGGCAUCGUCUCCUUGUCCAGAGUGUCUUCAGGUCAGCCUCUUGGGGCCCAGGCCCUCCUUCCGGCGGCUUCUAAGGGCCAACCUUCCAUUCUCGCCUCGCAGCAACCUCUGUGGACGCGGCUCCUCCCCAGCUCCCGGAGGCCUUUGUAGGCCUGAAAGCUCAGGCCCUCGACUCAGGCUCUCCAAGACUACCCAGGUCAUGCCUCACGCUGGCCUCCAGGCUCAGCUUCUGCCCAGCCAGGGUUCCCAUAGGCCCCAGAUGUCCCAGAGUCGGCUUCUCCAGGCCCGGGUCCAGACUCCUCCUGUUGGAUUCUGCAGGCUCAAGCAUUGGGUUCUCAAUUCGGCCUCUCCAGGCCCAGCUCCAGUUCUCCUGGCAUCUCCUCCCCAUGGGUGCAAAACAUUGUCACAUGGGCCCUUCUAGGGCCAGCUCAUGCUUCCCAAAGGCCCCCUGGGCUUAGCUCCUGCCUCCCAUCAGCCUCUCCUGGAGCCCCAUCCUCUGCCUCUGUACUGGCGGCCUCUCCAGGCCUGGAUCCUCCUCUUGGCCUUGUCUACGGGCCCAAGUUUUGCCCCUGGCAGCCUCUUUUUUUUUUUUUUUUUUUUUUGAGAUGGAGUUUUUCUCUUGUUACCCAGGCGCGAGUGCAGUGACCUGAUCUCGGCUCACCUCAACUUUUGCCUCUUGGGUUUAGGCAGUUCUCCUGCCUCAGCCUCCUGAGUAGCUGGGAUUACAGGCAUGCACCACCAUGCCCAGCUAAUUUUUUUUUUUUUUUGAGACCUAUUUUUGCUCUCGUUACCCAGGCUGGAGUAGAAUGGUGUGAUCUCGGCUCACCAGAACCUCCGCCUUUUGGGUUCAGGCAAUUCUCCUUCCUCAGCCUCCUGAGUAGCUGGGAUUACAGGCACGUGCCACCGUGCCCAGCUAAUUUUUUUUUUUUAUUUUUUUGAGAUGGAGUUUUGCUCUUGUUGCCCAGGCUGGAGUGCAAUGGCACGAUCUCGGUUCACUGCAAUGUCUGCCUCCUGGGUUCAGGCAAUUCUCCUGCCUCAGCCUCCUCAGUAGCUGGGAUUACAGGCAUGCACCACCAUGCCCAGCUAAUUUUUUGUAUUUUUUUUUUUUUGAGACCUAUUGUCGCUCUUGUUACCCAGGCUGGAGUAAAAUGGCGUGAUCUCGGCUCACCACAACCUCCGCCUUUUGGGUUCAGGCAAUUCUCCUUCCUCAGCCUCCUGAAUAGCUGGGAUUACAGGCACGCACCACCAUGCCCAGCUAAUUUUUUUUUUUUUUUGAGGUGGAGUUUUGCUCUUAUUGCCCAGGCUGGAGUGCAAUGGCACAAUCUCGGUUUACCACAAUGUCUGCCUCCUGGGUUCAGGCAAUUCUCCUGCCUCAGCCUCCUGAGCAGCUGGGAUUACAGGCACACACUACCAUGCCCAGUUAAUUUUUUGUACUUUUAGUUGAGACAGGGUUUCACCACGUUGACCAGGAUGGUCUCGAUCUCCUGACCUCGUGAUCCACCCGUCUCGGCCUCCCAAAGUGCUGGGAUUGCAGGCGUGAGCCACUGCGCCUGGUCCCCAGCAGCGUCUUUUGGCUCGGCUCCUGGCCAUCUCCUGGAGGCCUUUCAUCUGUCGGCCCAAAGCUUCCUCAGGUGGCACCUUUCGGGCGUCCCUUCUGCCUCCCAGUGGCCUCAACAGAAGAGACACCUAGAAGGCCCCACCUGAGGAAGUUUCGGGUUGACAGAUGAAAGGCCGAGCCAAAAGAGGCUGCCUGGCUCAAAACUUGGGCCGGUUGAUGUGGCCAGGAGAAGGUUCAGGCCUGGUGAGGCUGCCAGUAGGGAGGCACAGGCUGGGCCUCCUGGAGUGACUGCCUGAUGGGAACAGGACCUGGGCCCCGUGGGGCCACUGGGAUGCAGGACCUAGCCUCGGAGGGGACCACGUGAUGAUGUAUUGUACCCACGUUGGGGGGUGCCGCCGGGAGGGCAGGAGCUGGACCUGCAGACGCGGACUUCAUGACCCAAUGCUUGGGCCUCCCGAGGCCAGCGGGAGGACAAAGCAGGACUGGGCCUCAGGGCCGAGCUCUGGAGUCCCCGCAGCCUCCCCAGCCCCAGCUGCUGCCUGCUGGCUGCUUCCGCAGGCCAAGGUCUUGCCUACCUGCAUCCACAGGCCCCGUGCCUCCCUCACACUGGCCCGUUGGGGCCCAGCUUGUGCCUGUGGCAAACCUCUCCGGACCCAACUCUCACCUCACACUUGCCUCGAGUCUAGGCCCAGGUCCUCCCUCACAGUGCCCUUCUUCAGCCCAGCUUGCCUAUCACGGUCUCUCCUGGGCCAGCUUCUGCCUCACGGUGGCCUGUUCAGGCCCAAAGCUUCUUAUCCGAGCCAGGCCUAUUCAGGAGGCCCAAAGCUUCUGCCUGCACCAGGACAUUCUGGGCCCAGUCUCCAUUUUUCAGUGGACCCUCCAGGCCCAGCUUGUGGCAUCACAGUGGCCUCUGCUCAGGCUCAGCUCCUGCCUCUGCGGCAACCUGUAUCCACAGGCCCGGUGGCACUCCCGGGCCCAGCGUUUGCCUGGUGGCAUCCUCUCUGGGCUUAGAACGUCUUCAGGUAGGCCUCUCGGGGCCCAGCACCUCCUCUCGGCAGCAUCUAUGGGCCCAACUUCCGAAUUUGCCUCACAGCAACCUCUGUGGACUCAGCUCUUGCCCAGCUCCCGAUGGCGUUUGUAGGCCCAAAAGCUCAGACUUGACUCAGGCUCUCCAGGCCCACCUGGCUCAUGCCUCACAAGUGGCCUCUCCAGGCUUGGCUCCUGCCCUCCGAGGGCAUCUCCAGGCCCUAGACGUUCCAGAGUCAGCUUCUGCAGGCCCGGCUCCUGCUGCCUCCUCCUGCUGGCCUUGGGAGGCCCAAGCAUCGAAUCCUGAAGUCAGCCUCUCCAGGCCCAGUUCCUGCCCUCAUGGCAUCUCCUUUCCAUGGGUGGAAAACAUCCUCACAUGGGUGCCUCCAGGGCCAGCUGCUGCCUCCCAACGGCCCCCUGGGGCCCAGCUUCUACCUCCCCUCAGCCUCUGGGAGGUCCAGCCUAUGCCUCCCUUGUGGCGGCCUCCCCAGGCCCAGAUUCUCCACCUGGCCUCAUCUACUGGACCACGUCGUGCCUCCUGGCAGCUGGUUUUUGCUCGGCUCCUGAUCAGCUUCCAGCGACCUUCUGUAGGCCUGAAGCUUUCUCAAGUGGGGCUUUCUGGGCCUCCGUUCUGCCUCGCGGUGGCCUUGACAGGCCCUGCUACCACCUGACAUUGGCCCCUUUUGGCCCAGCUCUGGACUCUCUGCAGCCUCCCCAGCACCAGCUGCUGCCUGCUGAUGGCUUCCCCAGAUGAAGAUCCUGCCUGCCUGCAUUCUGGCUGCGUCCACAGGCCCAGCGCUUCCCUCACAGUGGCUCAUUGGAGCCCAGCACUUUCCUCACAGUGGCUCAUUGGAGCCCAGCACUUUCCUCACAGUGGCUCAUUGGAGCCCAGCACUUUCCUCACAGUGGCUCAUUGGAGCCCAGCAUUUUCCUCACAGUGGCUCAUUGGAGCCCAGCACUUCCCUCACAGUGGCUCGUUGGAGCCCAGUGCUUUUCUUACAGUGGCUCAUUGGAGCCCAGUGCUGUUUUUACAGUGGCUCAUUGGAGCCCAGCGCUUCCCUCACAGUGGCUCAUUGGAGCCCAGUGCUUUCCUUACAGUGGCUCAUUGGAGCCCAGCGCUUCCCUCACAGUGGCUCAUUGGGGCCCAGCUCAUGCCUGUGGCAAACCUCUCCGGACCCAGCUCUCGUCUCACUCUUGCCUUGAGUCUAGGCCCAGGCGCUCCCUCGCAGGGGUCUUCCUCAGCCCAGCUUGCCUAUCAGACUCUCCCGGGCCAGCUCCUGCCUCCCGGUGUCCUGUCCAGGCCCAAAGCUUCCUUUCCGUGCCCGGCCUCCCCAGGCCCAGCUUCUGCCUGCGCCAGGCCCAUACCGGGCCCAGCCUCUGCCUUUCAUUGGACCCUCCAGGCCCAGCUUGUGGCAUCACCGUGGCCUCUGCUUAGGCCCAGCUCCUGCCUGUGGCAGCCUGUAUCCACAGGCCCCACCCCCAGCCUUCCUGUGGCCCCAUGGGGCCAAGCUGUUGCCUCCCGACGGCCCUCCCGGGCCCAGCAUUUGCCUGCUGGUAUCCUCUCUGGGCCCAGAACAUCUUCAGAGAGGCCGGACUUCACAGAUGCCAUCAUCCUCCGGAAAGGGGCCUCAGUGGAGCACGUGACCUAGGCUUGAGAUCACAGCAGGAGGAGCCAAGAAGACUCACGAUUACCCUCCUGAAUCCCUUCAGACACUCCCAAGUGGCAAGCUGAGUAAAAUGGAACCAUCACCAAGUACAAUCCACAGCAGGUGGGUCUGACCCACACCACGGAGCAUGAGGAGGUCAUCCAGAUCGUGAAGAAGUAAUGGCGCCUGCGAGGCCUUUCGCCUACCUGUCUCAUCUCCCUGGGGGCAUCGGUCCUACUGGGAUACACAAACACCUUGGGUCCUCCACUCAAGGCUCUCCAGGAUUGGAAGCAGAGCUUAGUGGAUUCAAAGGACCAGCUGACACCUUCCACAGCCUAAGGGGUGUCCUAAAGUGCCUCCGUCUUUUUGACCCUCCCAGGGCAGCCCCUGCGCAACAAAAAACCCCCAGACCAUGGGUCUACACACCUGGGCCAGGGACUUUUGAGUUUAGAAUCUGUUUUCUAAGUCCCCAAUUCUUCUGGCUCUCCUUUCUGAAAUAAAGGAUUGGAAACCAUUCCUGUCCAGACUGAGAACACUUUGUAACCUUGCUGAACAGUAGCCAGGUUGAGUCAGGUGGGCACAGCUCAAGCAUUGAAGGUAGCAGUGGGCCUGGGAGUUUAAGAGGGUGGAGCCUGGAUCCCCAGGGCAGCCCCAGGCCAUGGGUGGCAAGGAGAAUGCAGGGUCCCUCAUCCAGGCACGGGCAGGCUCUGCCCAGGGAGCUGGUCAUGGGUGUCACGCCCAGACUGGCCCCUCCAGAGGGGCCUGGCUGCCAAGGUGGGCAGUAUCCCAGGAGGCCUUUGUGACCAUCUGGGUGGCAGGAAGGCUCCCCCAUGAGAACAAGGUGGCUGACCAUUUCCUGUUGCCUCAGAAGCCAGGAGCAGAGGGGCUGGCAGGGGCUCAUUGAGUACCUACAAUGUGCCAGGGACAGUGCUGGCCCCUCACGGUAUUCUACUGUCCCUUGGAAGGUGGUGCAGGUUGAACAGUUUUUGAAUGCAGAGCCCAGAUGUAAGACCUGUGAGCAGCAGCGAAGGCUUCCUGGAGGAGGUGUGCCUUUUUGGAGGGAUGCAGCAGGUUCUGUGAGGCUGUCAGGAGAGGUAGAGAGCUCCAGGGGUCCUCAGGCCCAGCUGGAGUAUGGAGCAGGCCCAGGCCCAGGUUCUGGGCUGUUUGCAGCUCCGCUGUCAGCUGCUCAGUCCUUUCCAGAGACAAAACAGGAAUAAUAGACAUCAUUAAAUAUACAUGUGGCUGGGGCCCCAGGCGGUUGACCUGGUGGGCCGGGCCUCCCUUCCCCAUAACACCGAGCUGCUCUGCUGGGCUGAUUGUGCUCCUGGGCCAGCCAGAGGACCCCCAUGAGGCAGCAUGCAGGCUAGGAGCAGGCCACGGGACCCAGAUAAGGGGUCCCUAGCCUAGAGUCCUUGGGGUUGGCCACUAGCUACCCUCCCAUCUCAGACUGCAGGAGCAGCAGCAGAGCUGGGGCCUUGCCCCAACUCACCUCGAGGCCCUUCGCUGCCUCACUUUGUUCAUCUGUGAGGGGUGUGAUGCCCAUGCAGCCCCCUCCUGGUGAUGGUGGGAUACCAAGACAGGCAAGGGCUCCUUGGCCCCUCUCCCAACAGCCCUGAUGCCUGGCCAUGAGGCCCUAAGUGAGGGUUUCUACCUGGGUGGUGGCCAUUCCCACUUCCACUUUACAGGCAAGGGCUCUGGCCCUGGGUGAGGUGGGGAAGGCCUUGAGUUCACACAGUGUCAGGCUGAGUGUGGGCCUUGGGUUAGAUCCAGGCCUGUUCUGUCCCCCUGGCUGGCUGACAAAAGGGGACAAACGAGGCCAGAGGCUGGGGGGUCCUCAGGCAGUGAGGGCUCGGGUGAGUGGCUCCUGCCACUGGGCAUGUUCCUGGGCUAGGUCUGUUGUGCGUGGGGGUCAGGCAGGCACUACAGCUCUGUUGUGUCCUGGGCUUUCUGGAUCUGUGGGCAGGAUGGUUGUAUGGUCUACAUUUGCAUGUGAGACUGAGUGAGAGAUCAUGCAACUGUGUAUGCCCAGGUCAGUGUGAAGUGUAGUUCGUGGUGCCCUUAGGGCUGGGAAGCUCCCUAAGACCCCCUCAAAGGUCCCAGACCCCUCCCCCAACUGGGGCGGGCUCCAGGCUUGGGCCUCACCCUGUCAGCCACCUUGUUCUCAUCACUCAUGCUCCCUGGCAAUCACAGGCAGGGGUCUGCACCCUCACCCAGGCCAUGCCCAGGCAGCAGAGCUGCACUCAGCUCCCAGCUGGCAUCCCUGCAGCCUCCCAGGGGUCAUCUGCCUGCAGCUUUAGAAGACUCAGGUACAAAGGAGACAAAGAAAUGCAUAUUAUUCUGUCCCAUGCUUGUGCAUUCUCUCAUUCUCCAUCUUUCUUCCUCUCCAGCUUAGAUUCCAGUUUUUUGUUCCAGAACCCUCCUUUGGCAAGCAAGAAAGCCAAGUCGAGAGCCUCUGCUUCCCACUCUGUCCUUCUCCUAGACAGCUCACCCCACCUCCAGCCUCCGUCUCACCAGACCUGGGUCCGAGCAGCCUUUUUGACUCUCCACUGCACUGUCCCAUAGCCAUCCAAACGCUCCGUGUCCCAGACCAAACAUGGCCUUCCCACCCCACCCAGCCUCACCUCAGAGACACUCUGUGCACCCUCCAGCUGCACCAACCCAACCCCAAGUUCACCUGGCUCCCCCCUCAUCCCAGCCCCAUCUAGCCCCUCACCAGGGCCAGCAUGUUUUACCUCAUCCUGAAUGUGCCCACUGGACUCCAUCACAGCAUGGUCCCAGCCACACCACUGUCCCCGCUCCACUCUUUUCACAUGGUGGCCUGAGCUGCCUUUUCUCCUGCUUCCUAAGAAGCCAUGUGAGCCAGUGGUUGAGACCGUGGACACUCUGGAGCCAGACUGCCCAGGCUCAACUCCACCUACAAGCUCUGUGGGCCCAUGUCCUCCUCUGCAAAGUGGGAAGAAUAAUCACACCCACUUCAGGAGGUUGUAGUGAGUUGAGUUCUGUGUGGCCUGGCAGUUCUGAACACAGGCCUUGCCGUCACAGGUCCCAUUGCUUCCUCACUGUGGGCUCUCCGCUGAGGGAUCUAACCUGAGAUCAAGCCCUUCAUCUAUAAAAUGUGAAGAACAGUUGCUGUCCUACUUAUGUGAGAAUCUAGUGUGAUACUUCAGAAAAGCAUUUAGCACCAAGCCUGGCACACAGUAAACAUCUGGAAAUGUGGAACAGUGACCAAAGUCCCAUCCCUUUUAUGUUUGAUUGGGCUAGUCCCUGCCUGCCACCCUGGACACCUCUCAUUUCACAUGCCCUCAAUCACUCUGCUGUAGCCAUAGACUGUCCCUGAAGCCCCUCUUACUACCUGGCAUUUGCACAUGCUGUUCCACUUGCCAGCAAUACUGUUCCCUCUUCCAUGUGAUCAGCUCCCUCUUAUCCUUAUCUUGGUUCAGGGUUACCUUGUCAGGAGAAUCUUCCUGGACCUCCAAUGCAGUGUUCACCCAUCUGGGGUCAUGCCCUGACCUUCACAGCUCUUCUUAUUGGUGUGACUCUUUGUUUAAAGCCUGCAUCCAGGAUAGGCAUGGUGGUUCAUACCUGUAAUCCCAACACUGGUAGGCUGAGGCAGGAGUAGUGCUUGGGGGCAAGGCGUUCAAGACCAGCCUGGGCAACUUAAUGGGACCCUGUCUCUAGAAAAACUGAAAGCAAUAGCCAGGUGUGGUGGCACACACCUGUGGUCUCAGCUGCUUGGGCAGCUGAGGUGGGAGGAUUGCGUGAGCCUGAGAGCUCAAGGCUGCAGUGAGCUGUGAUUAUGUUACUGCACUCCAGCCUAAGCGACGGAACAAGACCCUGUCUCAAAAAACAAAAACAGAAAACAAAGUCUGUGUCCCCUACAACGCAGGGAACUUCAUGAGAGCAGAGAUCAGGUUGGCUUUCACUCCACUCUGCCAACCCUGAGUGCCCUGCAUAGUGCUUGGCACAUAACACAUGCACAACUAAUGCACAGCUAAUAUUUAAAGAAUCAAUAAAUGAGAGACUAGUAGCCUGACACCCGCUCUGUGCCUGCACAGAGGUCAGGAACCCUGAGAGGGAGGCAGGACCUGGAACCUACCAGAGAAGGGGCAACCUCAGCUGACUUCUUGCCCGAGGCCCCAGAGACCAAGAGGGGUCAGGUGGGCAGGACUUGCUGCCAGCAGUCACCCAGACCACCUCACUCAGAGCAGACAGGCAGAGGCCUGUAGCAACGAUGUUGGCAGUCAUAACAGCUGCUUACCCAGGCCAGCCACUGUGCCCGGCUCUCCACCAUUUCAUGUAAUGCCCAGGCCAGCCUUGGUAGGGGAGGUAUCUACACUCACGGAUGAGGAGACUAAUGCUGAGGCUGCAUGACUUGCUAUGGGUCAGAUCCAAGUGAGGAAUGAGACCUGACCCAGAGCUCUGAGCCGCGGGCCUCCUCAUCCCCUGGGCUAGAGCUGGGCUUGCCUCUCCGAGUGGCAGGUCUUCAUCUGGACAAUGGGGUUUUGCAGGUGAAAGAUGCCUGCCUGCGGGCUUGAGGCAUGACUUGGGCAAGUCCCUAGACAAUGGUGGCCUCUCAGCCUUUCUUUUUUUUUUUUUUUUUUUUAGGAGAAAGAGAAUAAUAUUUAUUGGGCAUGCCAUACACCAAGUUAGAUUUUUUUUUAUUAUUAAUAGCACCAGUAUCUCUGAACCUGAUUUAUUUUUUUAUCUUUUUAUUGCAUUUUAGGUUUUGGGGUUCAUGUGCAGAACAUGCAAGACAUCUGCAUAGGUACACACAUGGCAGUGUGUUUUGCUGCCUUCCUCCCCUUCACCCACAUUUGGCAUUCCUCUCAGCCUGUCUUCUGGACAGACAAGGCUCCCUGCUUGGGGCAGACAGAAAGUAUGGCUCUGGGAGGUGCUCCUGGUUCUGAAGAGCCAGCCCUGCCCCACUUGUCCCCAGCAAGUCUUCUGACCUCUCUCUGCCUCACUUUCAACAAAUGUUACGUGGCUGUGGGGGUGGAGUUGGAUCUGGGACAUCUCAGGCCCUGACAUUCUUCCUGAGAGCCUGUCUAAAGUGGUGUUUCCACUCACUGUCUCCAAUUUCUUUUUUUCCAUUUUCACAUUUACAGUGUUGUGGUGGGUGGGGACAGUGUCUCGCUCUGUCUCUCAGGCUGGAGUACAGUGGCGCAACCUCGCCUCCCGGCACCCUCCACCUCCCGGGUUUAAGUGAUUCUCCUGCCUCAGCCACCACACUGUGCACGCCUUUAGCUGGGAUUACAGGUGUGCACCACCACACCCAGCUGAGUUUUGUAUUUUUUAGUAGAGAUGGAGUUUCGCCAUGUCGGCCAGGCUGGUCUUGAGUUCCUAGCUUCAAGUGAUCCACCUGCCUCGGCCUCACAAAGUGCUUGGACUACAGGUGAGAACCUCCAUGCCCAGCCACCAUUUAUACUUUUAAAUGUGACAUUUUUGUUUGUUUUUUGACUCAGAAAUGCACUCAUAUGGAUCAAAAAUCAAACUAAUGUAGAAAGAUUUAUAGGGAGAUAACCAUUCUCAUUAAUUUCUUGUGUAGCUUUUGUUGUAUUUUUUUUUGAGACAGAGUCACUCUGUCACUCGAGCUGGAGUGCAGUGGCAUAAUCUCAGCUCACUACAACCUCCGCCUCCUGGGUUCAAGCAAUUCUUAUGGCUCAGCCUCCUGAGUAGCUGGAACUACAGACACACACCAUCAUGCCUGGCUAAAUUGUGUAUUUUAGUAGAGAUGGGGUUUCAUCGUGUUGCCCAGGCUGGUUUCAAACUCCUGAGCUCUGGCAAUUUGCCCACCUCAGCCUCCCAAAGUGCUAGGAUUAUGGGCUUGAGCCUCCACACCCAGUGCUGAAUUUCUUUUAUUUGUUUUGACACAGGGUUUUGCUCUGUGUCAGAGUCUGGAGUGCAGUGGCGUGAUCACGGCUCACUGCAGCCUCAAAUCCUGGCUCAAGUGAUUCUUCCACUUCAGCCUCUUGAGUAUCUGGGCCUACAGGCACUUGCCAACACUCCCCACUAAUAUUUUAGUUAGUUUGUUUUUUAGAGACACGGUCUCAUAUUGCCUAAGCUGGUGUCAAACUACUGGGCUCCUCCCAUUUCAGCCUCCCAAAGUGCUGGAAUUACAGGCAUGAGCCACAGCGCCCGGCCUAAUGAUUCUAAAAUUAAUAUGGAAAUGCAGAGAACUUAGAAUAGCCAAAACAAUGCUGAAGAAGAACAAGACUGGAGAGCCAACCACCACGAAGUCAUCUCCUUUGAAUAUCCCAUUCCUCAUUGAGGGUGGCUCUCAGCAGCAAAUAACUCAUCAAUCACUUUCUCCAUAUUGUUGUAUAUUAAUUUCUCUCAACGAGGCAGUAAGCAACUUAAAAGCAUAUUCUAGUCACAAACACCUCUUCAGUAGUAAGGCAUAGUGCUUAAAAUCCAAGACUCUCCAGGCAGAUGGGCUUCAUGGCCCCGUUUCUGUAUUUAUUAUCUAACUGACUCUGGCAACUUUCUUCUCUCUGGUUAGUUUCUCCAUCUGCGACAUGGGGCAGCAGUGAUAACGGUGUCCACGUAGAGUGCCUAUGGAGCUUAACUGAAAUAAGAGUGCCUGGCACACAGUAUCUACCUACUUAAUUAUUGUGUUUUGAAUAAACUGACUCCCAGAUCAGAAAGCA